This 160-nucleotide ribosomal RNA is filed under the name uncultured bacterium. RNAcentral's name for it is "partial 16S ribosomal RNA". It matches the Rfam family "Bacterial small subunit ribosomal RNA", at positions 355 to 507 of the family's 1533-position model. The record is from RNAcentral.
UGGGGAAUAUUGCACAAUGGGCGCAAGCCUGAUGCAGCCAUGCCGCGUGUAUGAAGAAGGCCUUCGGGUUGUAAAGUACUUUCAGCGGGGAGGAAGGGAGUGAGGUUAAUAACCUCAUUCAUUGACGUUACCCGCAGAAGAAGCACCGGCUAACUCCGUG